UAGGGAAUCUUCCACAAUGGACGCAAGUCUGAUGGAGCAACGCCGCGUGAGUGAAGAAGGUUUUCGGACCGUAAAGCUCUGUUGUUGGUGAAGAAGGAUAGAGGUAGUAACUGGCCUUUUAUUUGACGGUAAUCAACCAGAAAGUCACGGCUAACUACGUGCCAGCAGCCGCGGUAAUACGUAGGUGGCAAGCGUUGUCCGGAUUUAUUGGGCGUAAAGCGAGCGCAGGCGGAAGAAUAAGUCUGAUGUGAAAGCCCUCGGCUUAACCGAGGAAUUGCAUCGGAAACUGUUUUUCUUGAGUGCAGAAGAGGAGAGUAGAACUCCAUGUGUAGCGGUGGAAUGCGUAGAUAUAUGGAAGAAUACCAGUGGCGAAGGCGGCUCUCUGGUCUGCAACUGACGCUGAGGCUCGAAAGCAUGGGUAGCGAACAGGAUUAGAUACCCUUGGUAGUCCAUGCCGUAAACGAUGAGUGCUAAGUGUUGGGAGGCUUCCGCCUGCUCAGUGCUGCAGCUAACGCAUUAAGCACUCCGCCUGGGGGA
RNAcentral lists this ribosomal RNA (537 nucleotides) under uncultured bacterium. RNAcentral describes it as "partial 16S ribosomal RNA". It matches the Rfam family "Bacterial small subunit ribosomal RNA", at positions 355 to 880 of the family's 1533-position model. The record is from RNAcentral.